RNAcentral lists this ribosomal RNA (499 nucleotides) under uncultured bacterium. RNAcentral describes it as "partial 16S ribosomal RNA". It matches the Rfam family "Bacterial small subunit ribosomal RNA", at positions 28 to 507 of the family's 1533-position model. The record is from RNAcentral.
GACGAACGCUGGCGGCGUGCCUAAUACAUGCAAGUCGUGCGGACCUUUUAAAAGCUUGCUUUUAAAAGGUUAGCGGCGGACGGGUGAGUAACACGUGGGCAACCUGCCUGUAAGACUGGGAUAACGCCGGGAAACCGGGGCUAAUACCAGAUCGUUUUUUCCUCCGCAUGGAGGAAAAAGGAAAGGCGGCUUCGGCUGCCACUUACAGAUGGGCCCGCGGCGCAUUAGCUAGUUGGCGGGGUAACGGCCCACCAAGGCAACGAUGCGUAGCCGACCUGAGAGGGUGAUCGGCCACAUUGGGACUGAGACACGGCCCCAACUCCUUCGGGAGGCAGCAGUAGGGAAUCUUCCGCAAUGGACGAAAGUCUGACGGAGCAACGCCGCGUGAGUGAAGAAGGCCUUCGGGUCGUAAAACUCUGUUGCCGGGGAAGAACAAGUGCCGUUCGAACAGGGCGGCGCCUUGACGGUACCCGGCCAGAAAGCCACGGCUAACUACGUG